AUGCCGCAGACGCCAUCGACCCGUUGGUGCCCGACGCCUGAGCAGCUGAUGAUCCUGGAGGAGAUGUACCGGAGCGGCGUGCGCACACCUAACGCGGCGGAGAUCCAGCAGAUCACGGCGCACCUCGCCUACUACGGCCGCAUCGAGGGAAAGAACGUCUUCUACUGGUUCCAGAACCACAAGGCCCGCGAGCGCCAGCGUCUCCGUCGCCGCCUCUGCGCCCGCCACCAGCAACCCUCCUCGCCGGCGGCUCCUCCUCCUCCUCCUCCUCAUACUGGUGCUGCCGGCGGCGGAGGCAAUGCUGCUGGUGCUGGUGCGGGCGUGAACGCGAUUCACCCCGCGGUGAUGCAGCUGCACCAUCACCACCACACAUACGCAACCAGCUGCUUCAUGGCGCCUCAGGGCUACUUGCAGCAGGAAACAGCAGCAGGAGGAGCUCUUCCAGUUUCGGGGUUGGAGUUUGCAGGCAAGACAAGCCAGCAGCAGGAAUGGAUGACACAGCAGCAGAUGGUGAUGGAGAACAGCAACUUUAACAACAGUGUAGCAGCAGCUGGAGGCAGCUCCGCAGCGGCCGGCGGUGGUAUGAAUAAUAUGACCCCGCCGCCAUGGCCAUGCUGCCGGCCGCUCAGAACCCUAGAGCUCUUCCCUACAAAGAGCACCGGUGGCGGCCUCAGGGACGAGUGCAGCAGCUCCAAGUCCUCCUCUUGCUCCACCUCCACAAACUAG
Molecule: ribosomal RNA, 726 nt
Filed under: Triticum aestivum (bread wheat)
Lineage: Eukaryota; Viridiplantae; Streptophyta; Magnoliopsida; Poales; Poaceae
Description: partial small subunit ribosomal RNA
Source: RNAcentral